GGGCCGGUAGCUCAGUGGUAGAGCAGCUGCCUUUUAAGCAGCGGGUCGAGGGUUCAAUUCCCUCCCGGCCCUCCA
This 75-nucleotide transfer RNA is filed under the name Alphaproteobacteria bacterium. RNAcentral's name for it is "tRNA-Lys". It matches the Rfam family "tRNA". From Rfam's summary of the family: Transfer RNA (tRNA) molecules are approximately 80 nucleotides in length. Lineage: Bacteria; Pseudomonadati; Pseudomonadota; Alphaproteobacteria. RNAcentral also lists the same sequence under 2 other names. The record is from RNAcentral.